CCUAACUGGACUUCGGGGGGACAAACCGACUCCAAUAUCUCUUCUCCUGACAGCUGUGGAAUGAGGACCUUGGUUUCCUCAUCAGAAGAACUGGGCCUCUGUUUUUGAAGCAUCCCUUCCUAGAUUGGUUCAGAAGAAGAGUUAUGUCAUGCCCAGAUCACUGCAGGGAUCCAUGAGGAUUUAUAGAAGAUGUCCUGGAUCUUGUUGCCUUUGGUGCUCUUGUUGGUAUGGUUAAUGAAGAUAGCUGCUAGCCCCCAUUCGCUGAGGAUUGAAUGAAGAGAAGUAUUAGCCCUCCGAAUUUUCCCCAUCGCUUCCUAUCUGCUCUAACUUUGGAGAGAACGUAGCUUCCUUCCGUCAAGCAAUUAAAGAUGCAAACCCCUUCUUGGAAGAACAGAGGCAAAACUUAAUUGGAUUAAAACAAUGAAAUAAAUGUUUGAAAAGUAUUCAUGCUGAUCAGCUAGGAUGAAAAAAAAGAAAAAAAAGAAAUGUAUAGACAGCUGAGGGAUAAUUGCUGCCUUUUGUAUUUUCAAAGGGAAAGUCUCGAAUCACAUCGCAGCGUUCUCUAGUCGUGACUCUAAGAAAGCCGAAUAAUGGACUUAAUUAGUCCAUCAGCAAUGGUUU
Non-coding RNA from Pantherophis guttatus, 621 nucleotides. NCBI's taxonomy places the organism in Eukaryota, Metazoa, Chordata, Lepidosauria, Squamata, Colubridae. The record is from RefSeq and is a predicted model, not a curated record.